AACGAACGCUGGCGGCAUGCCUAACACAUGCAAGUCGAACGAGACCUUCGGGUCUAGUGGCGCACGGGUGCGUAACGCGUGGGAACCUGCCUUUAGGUUCGGAAUAACUCAGAGAAAUUUGAGCUAAUACCGGAUGAUGUCUUCGGCCCAAAGAUUUAUCGCCUUUAGAUGGGCCCGCGUUGGAUUAGCUUGUUGGUGGGGUAAAGGCCUACCAAGGCCACGAUCCAUAGCUGGUCUGAGAGGAUGAUCAGCCACACUGGGACUGGGACGCGGCCCGGACUCCUACGGGAGGCAGCAGUGGGGAAUAUUGGACAAUGGGCGAAAGGCUGAUCCAGCAAGGCCGCGUGAGUGAUGAAGGCCGUAGGGUUGUAAAGCUCUUUUACCCGAGAUGAUAAUGACAGUAUCGGGAGAAUAAGCUCCGGCUAACUCCGUG
RNAcentral lists this ribosomal RNA (433 nucleotides) under uncultured bacterium. RNAcentral describes it as "partial 16S ribosomal RNA". It matches the Rfam family "Bacterial small subunit ribosomal RNA", at positions 29 to 507 of the family's 1533-position model. The record is from RNAcentral.